CGGUUGAGCCUACCGGAGGCUACUGCUAUUGGAAUCCGAUUAAGCCAUGCGAGUUGAAAGGGUUUAGACCCUUAGCGGACGGCUCAGUAACACGUGGAGAACCUGCCCUCAGGUGGGGGAUAAUCCCGGGAAACUGGGAAUAAUACCCCAUAGGUCUCGAAUGCUGGAAUGCUUCGAGGCUAAAAGUUCCGACGCCUGAGGAUGGCUCUGCGGCCUAUCAGGUAGUAGUGAGGGUAACGUCCUCACUAGCCUAUGACGGGUACGGGCGUUGAGAGACGGAGCCCGGAGAUGGACUCUGAGACACGAGUCCAGGCCCUACGGGGCGCAGCAGGCGCGAAACCUCCGCAAUGCUCGAAAGAGUGACGGGGGGAUUCCAAGUGCCUACGCUCAGCGUAGGCUGUUCGGAUGCCUAAAAAGCAUCAGGAGGAAGGACUGGGUAAGACGGGUGCCAGCCGCCGCGGUAAUACCCGCAGUUCAAGUGGUAGCCGAUUUUAUUGGGCGUAAAGCGUCCGUAGCCGGUCUGGUAAAUACCUGGGUAAAUCGUUUGGCUCAACCAAACGAAUUCCGGGUAGACUACCAGACUUGGGACCGGUUGAGGGAGAGGGUACUUCAGGGGUAGGAGUGAAAUCCUGUAAUCCCUGAAGGACCACCAGUGGCGAAGGCGCUCUCCUUGAACGGGUCCGACGGUUAGGGACGAAAGCCAGGGGAGCAAACCGGAUUAGAUACCCGGGUAGUCCUGGCCGUAAACGCUGCUGGCUUGGUAUUGGGGGUCCUACAGGGCGCCCAGUGCCGUACCGCACGGGAUAAGCCAGCCGCCUGGGGAGUGCGGUCGCAAGACUGAAACUUGAAAGGAAUUCCCGGGGGAGCAC
RNAcentral lists this ribosomal RNA (869 nucleotides) under uncultured archaeon. RNAcentral describes it as "bacterial SSU rRNA". It matches the Rfam family "Archaeal small subunit ribosomal RNA", at positions 5 to 879 of the family's 1478-position model. The record is from RNAcentral.